GAUGAACGCUGGCGGCGUGCCUAAUACAUGCCAGUAGAACGCUGAAGGAGGAGCUUGCUCUUCUGGAUGAGUUGCGAACGGGUGAGUAACGCGUAGGUAACCUGCCUGGUAGCGGGGGAUAACUAUUGGAAACGAUAGCUAAUACCGCAUGACAACAGUUAUUGCAUGAUAACUGUUUAAAAGGGGCAACUGCUCCACUACCAGAUGGACCUGCGUUGUAUUAGCUAGUUGGUGAGGUAACGGCUCACCAAGGCGACGAUACAUAGCCGACCUGAGAGGGUGAUCGGCCACACUGGGACUGAGACACGGCCCAGACUCCUACGGGAGGCAGCAGUAGGGAAUCUUCGGCAAUGGACGGAAGUCUGACCGAGCAACGCCGCGUGAGUGAAGAAGGUUUUCGGAUCGUAAAGCUCGGUUGUAAGAGAAGAACGAGGGUGAGAGUGGAAAGUUCACACUGUGACGGUAUCUUACCAGAAAGGGACGGCUAACUACGUG
This 495-nucleotide ribosomal RNA is filed under the name uncultured bacterium. Its description in RNAcentral is "partial 16S ribosomal RNA". It matches the Rfam family "Bacterial small subunit ribosomal RNA", at positions 28 to 507 of the family's 1533-position model. The record is from RNAcentral.